RNAcentral lists this ribosomal RNA (800 nucleotides) under uncultured Flavobacteriia bacterium. Its description in RNAcentral is "bacterial SSU rRNA". It matches the Rfam family "Bacterial small subunit ribosomal RNA", at positions 28 to 821 of the family's 1533-position model. The record is from RNAcentral. Lineage: Bacteria; Pseudomonadati; Bacteroidota; Flavobacteriia.
GAUGAACGCUAGCGGCAGGCCUAACACAUGCAAGUCGAGGGGUAACAGGGAGUGCUUGCACUCUGCUGACGACCGGCGCACGGGUGCGGAACGCGUAUGGAACCUGCCCCUGUCAGGGGAAUAGCCCAGAGAAAUUUGGAUUAAUGCCCCAUGGUAUCGAACCACCGCAUGGUGGUUUGAUUAAAGAUUUAUCGGACAGGGAUGGCCAUGCGUACCAUUAGCUAGUUGGUGAGGUAACGGCUCACCAAAGCAACGAUGGUUAGGGGCCCUGAGAGGGGGAUCCCCCACACUGGUACUGAGACACGGACCAGACUCCUACGGGAGGCAGCAGUGAGGAAUAUUGGACAAUGGCCGAAAGGUUGAUCCAGCCAUGCCGCGUGCAGGAUGACGGCCCUAUGGGUUGUAAACUGCUUUUACAUGGGAAGAAACCUCCCCUCGUGAGGGGAGCUGACGGUACCAUGAGAAUAAGGACCGGCUAACUCCGUGCCAGCAGCCGCGGUAAUACGGAGGGUCCGAGCGUUAUCCGGAAUCAUUGGGUUUAAAGGGUCCGUAGGCGGGCCUAUAGGUCAGGGGUGAAAGGCCACGGCUCAACCGUGGGACUGCCCUUGAUACUGUAGGUCUUGAGUUAUAGUGGGGUUGCCGGAACAUGUGGUGUAGCGGUGAAAUGCAUAGAUAUCACAUAGAACACCGAUCGCGAAGGCAGGUGACCAACUAUAUACUGACGCUGAUGGACGAAAGCGUGGGUAGCGAACGGGAUUAGAUACCCCGGUAGUCCACGCCGUAAACGAUGGAUACUAGCU